This 1311-nucleotide ribosomal RNA is filed under the name uncultured bacterium. Its description in RNAcentral is "partial 16S ribosomal RNA". It matches the Rfam family "Bacterial small subunit ribosomal RNA", at positions 43 to 1395 of the family's 1533-position model. The record is from RNAcentral.
CAGGCCUAACCCAUGCAAGUUGGGCGGGGCAUGGCAACAUGUCAGUGGCGGACGGGUGAGUAACGCGUAGGAAUCUGUUCUUGGGUGGGGGAUACCAGUGGGAAACUACUGCUAAUCCCGUAUGAUACCUGAGGGUUAAAGGCGAAAGCCGCCUGGGGAGGAGCCUGCGUUCGAUUAGCUAGUUGGUGGGGUAAAGGCCUACCAAGGCUACGAUCGAUAGCUGGUCUGAGAGGAUGAUCAGCCACACUGGGACUGAGACACGGCCCAGACUCCUACGGGAGGCAGCAGUGGGGAAUAUUGGACAAUGGGUGCAAGCCUGAUCCAGCAAUGCCGCGUGGGUGAAGAAGGUUUUCGGAUUGUAAAGCCCUUUUGGCGGGGACGAUGAUGACGGUACCUGCAGAAUAAGCCCCGGCUAACUUCGUGCCAGCAGCCGCGGUAAUACGAAGGGGGCUAGCGUUGCUCGGAAUGACUGGGCGUAAAGGGCGCGUAGGCGGCGAUCAAAGUCAGGCGUGAAAUUCCUGGGCUCAACCUGGGGGCUGCGCUUGAUACUUGGUUGCUUGAGUGGGGAAGAGGGUCGUGGAAUUCCCAGUGUAGAGGUGAAAUUCGUAGAUAUUGGGAAGAACACCGGUGGCGAAGGCGGCGACCUGGUCCUUGACUGACGCUGAGGCGCGAAAGCGUGGGGAGCAAACAGGAUUAGAUACCCUGGUAGUCCACGCCGUAAACGAUGUCGAUUUGGAGGUUGUGCCCUUGAGGCGUGGCUUCCGGAGCUAACGCGUUAAAUCGACCGCCUGGGGAGUACGGCCGCAAGGUUAAAACUCAAAUGAAUUGACGGGGGCCCGCACAAGCGGUGGAGCAUGUGGUUUAAUUCGAUGCAACGCGAAGAACCUUACCUACUCUUGACAUCCACGGAACUUGCCAGAGAUGGCUUAGUGCCUUCGGGAACCGUGAGACAGGUGCUGCAUGGCUGUCGUCAGCUCGUGUUGUGAAAUGUUGGGUUAAGUCCCGCAACGAGCGCAACCCUUAUCCUUUGUUGCCAGCACGUAAUGGUGGGAACUCAAAGGAGACUGCCGGUGAUAAACCGGAGGAAGGUGGGGAUGACGUCAAGUCAUCAUGGCCCUUACGAGUAGGGCUACACACGUGCUACAAUGGCGUAUACAAAGAGAAGCGACCUCGCGAGAGUCAGCGGACCUCAUAAAGUACGUCGUAGUCCGGAUUGGAGUCUGCAACUCGACUCCAUGAAGUCGGAAUCGCUAGUAAUCGUAGAUCAGAAUGCUACGGUGAAUACGUUCCCGGGCCUUGUACACACCGCCC